Erythranthe guttata (spotted monkey flower) is the source of this 633-nucleotide long non-coding RNA. RefSeq lists it as uncharacterized. The record is from RefSeq and is a predicted model, not a curated record. NCBI's taxonomy places the organism in Eukaryota, Viridiplantae, Streptophyta, Magnoliopsida, Lamiales, Phrymaceae.
AACUAUUGAAGGAAAUUAUAAAAUAGGAAAAAAAAGAAAAAUAACAUAUUAAAGUCGAUAAAAAAUGAAGAGUGGGGACCACUUGCAAUAGAAUAAAAAAGAGAGAAUAUCAAUAAAUUAUUAUUAGUACAGAGAAAAAAAAGAAAAGAAAAAAGGUCCUAGGUUUCUUCUGUCAAACAACAGUCUUAGGACAUUCUUGCAUAUUCUGACACCACCACCCACCUUUCAACCUUAGAACAGAUCUCCUUCGGGCAACCAAAAACAUGACUGUGUCGAAGAGGCUAGCGGAGAAGAAGGUGGCUAAGUUCGAGAAGAACGUGACAAGGAGAGGAUUGGGUUCCGCCUCGUCCAAAAAGGGAUUUGAACCAGCCCACAUUGUUCUCAUUCUCUUCGCUGUCUUGGUCGUCGCCUCCUUUAUCUUCCAGGUUGUCAGGAUGGCGAUGAGCGAUGGAAUUCCCGAAGAUAAUGGAAUUGAUUCGUAAAAAUGAAGAUUAUGUGUUAUGCUAAGAGUUUAAUAUGAUCAACUCUACCUAGAUUUCGUAAGCAGUAUUUCGAUUCCUGUUGAACAAAGUAUCGAGGAAAUAAAAUGGCAGAUAAUUAUUGAAGAAAAUAAAAAAUUCAACCUUUGUCUUU